GGGGGUAUAGCUCAGUUGGUAGAGCGCGUCGUUCGCAAUGACGAGGUCAGGGGUUCGAAUCCCCUUAUCUCCA
Molecule: transfer RNA, 73 nt
Filed under: Verrucomicrobiota bacterium
Lineage: Bacteria; Pseudomonadati; Verrucomicrobiota
Also listed under: 2 other names
Description: Verrucomicrobia bacterium tRNA-Ala
Rfam family: tRNA
About the family: Transfer RNA (tRNA) molecules are approximately 80 nucleotides in length.
Source: RNAcentral